AUGGCAACUACAAGGCCUCCAUCUACAAGACCUCAAGACUUAUUGACUCAAGACAAUAAUUCAAUACACAAUACUGGGUGGAGGAUGAUUUUCAUCGGCACCCUCAAGCAACCAAUGGAUGACCCGGGAUGCAUGGAGAAGCGCCAUGCCAUCUUGCAUAAAGCUUCGCCCAGACUCAAAAAGAUGGAAGAAUACUUCAUGCCCGGAAGCUUACCGGUCCAGCCACAAGUCAAUAUGGGCUCUGGCUUGGUUGAUCUUAGUGGUGAAUCUGGCUGGACAGUUUCUAGCAGAUGUAGUUGA
This 300-nucleotide ribosomal RNA is filed under the name Triticum aestivum (bread wheat). RNAcentral's name for it is "partial small subunit ribosomal RNA". The record is from RNAcentral. Lineage: Eukaryota; Viridiplantae; Streptophyta; Magnoliopsida; Poales; Poaceae.